UGGAGAGCUAGGGCUUGGAACGGAAAUUGGCACCCAUCACUUUUGGCUGUUGUUAUCACAUUUCUCAGAUGAGAACGCUGGGGCUAGGAGAGAGAAAUCACUUCUCCGAAGCCACACCAGAAGGCAGGGGAAGAGUCCCUGGAACAAGGCAGAAGAGAACUAAUGGGAGGGAUCAGGCUCCUCUUUACCUCAGGUUUUCCUUAUAUCUGGAGCAGAGAAUCCAGUCCUUCCAGGCCUCAAAACAUCUUACAAGUUCCCUGGACAGCACGAGCACCCCGGAACCUUUCCCUGCAGGCCCGUCAACAUUAAGCACUUACUGUAUACCAAGAACAAAUCCAAAUUUUUCAUGUAUUUGACUAAUUUCAUCUUCACAAAGACCCUUUACGGUAAAUACUACUACUGAAUACGGUAAAUUCUUCCAGUUAAGGAAGCAGAAGCAGAGGACUAUGAACUCCCCGUGGGCAGACCGGCAAAUGGGGGGGGUGUGUGAGCCUGCCGUGCCCGCCUCUACCCAGGGCCUCUCAGUCUGAUGGUACGCGACAGAAGCCUUGUCUUUAAAAAAAUUAUUUUUAUUUUUAUUUUUUUGGAGUCCUGGGAUCGAGCCCCACAUGGGGCUCUCCGCUUGGCAGGGAGCCUGCUUCCUCCUCUCUCUCUGCCUGCCUCUGUGCCUACUUGUGGA
This 679-nucleotide long non-coding RNA is filed under the name Mustela putorius furo (domestic ferret). RNAcentral's name for it is "lncRNA (ENSMPUG00000028440.1)". The record is from RNAcentral. Lineage: Eukaryota; Metazoa; Chordata; Mammalia; Carnivora; Mustelidae.